GAUGAACGCUGGCGGCGUGCCUAAUACAUGCAAGUCGAGCGAACGGACGAGAAGCUUGCUUCUCUGAUGUUAGCGGCGGACGGGUGAGUAACACGUGGAUAACCUACCUAUAAGACUGGGAUAACUUCGGGAAACCGGAGCUAAUACCGGAUAAUAUUUUGAACCGCAUGGUUCAAAAGUGAAAGACGGUCUUGCUGUCACUUAUAGAUGGAUCCGCGCUGCAUUAGCUAGUUGGUAAGGUAACGGCUUACCAAGGCAACGAUGCAUAGCCGACCUGAGAGGGUGAUCGGCGACACUGGAAGUGAGACACGGUCCAGACUACUGCGGGAGGCGGCAGUAGGGAAUCUUCCGCAAUGGGCGAAAGCCUGACGGAGCAACGCCGCGUGAGUGAUGAAGGUCUUCGGAUCGUAAAACUCUGUUAUUAGGGAAGAACAUAUGUGUAAGUAACUGUGCACAUCUUGACGGUACCUGAUCAGAAAGCCACGGCUAACUACGUG
Molecule: ribosomal RNA, 497 nt
Filed under: uncultured bacterium
Lineage: Bacteria
Description: partial 16S ribosomal RNA
Rfam family: Bacterial small subunit ribosomal RNA
Source: RNAcentral